GACGAACGCUGGCGGCGUGCUUAACACAUGCAAGUCGUACGGUAAGGCCCUUUCGGGGGUACACGAGUGGCGAACAGGUGAGUAACACGUGAGUAACCUGCCCACAACUUUGGGAUAACGCUAGGAAACUGGUGCUAAUACUGGAUAUGUGCUCCUGCUGCAUGGUGGGGGUUGGAAAGCUCCGGCGGUUGUGGAUGGACUCGCGGCCUAUCAGCUUGUUGGUGGGGUAGUGGCCUACCAAGGCGGCGACGGGUAGCCGGCCUGAGAGGGUGACCGGCCACAUUGGGACUGAGAUACGGCCCAGACUCCUACGGGAGGCAGCAGUGGGGAAUAUUGCACAAUGGGCGCAAGCCUGAUGCAGCAACGCCGCGUGCGGGAUGACGGCCUUCGGGUUGGAAACCGCUUUCAGCAGGGACGAAGCUUUUUGUGACGGUACCUGCAGAAGAAGCACCGGCUAACUACGUG
RNAcentral lists this ribosomal RNA (465 nucleotides) under uncultured bacterium. RNAcentral describes it as "partial 16S ribosomal RNA". It matches the Rfam family "Bacterial small subunit ribosomal RNA", at positions 28 to 507 of the family's 1533-position model. The record is from RNAcentral.